RNAcentral lists this ribosomal RNA (250 nucleotides) under uncultured bacterium. Its description in RNAcentral is "partial 16S ribosomal RNA". It matches the Rfam family "Bacterial small subunit ribosomal RNA", at positions 527 to 776 of the family's 1533-position model. The record is from RNAcentral.
GUAGGGUGCGAGCGUUAAUCGGAACUACUGGGCGUAAAGCGUGCGCAGGCGGCUUCGCAAGUCAGGCGUGAAAUCCCCGGGCUUAACCUGGGAAUGGCGUCUGAAACUACGGAGCUGGAGUGUGGCAGGGGGAGGUAGAAUUCCACGUGUAGCGGUGAAAUGCGUAGAUAUGUGGAGGAAUACCGAUGGCGAAGGCAGCCUCCUGGGCCAACACUGACGCUCAUGCACGAAAGCGUGGGGAGCAAACAGG